Molecule: ribosomal RNA, 2883 nt
Filed under: Shigella flexneri
Lineage: Bacteria; Pseudomonadati; Pseudomonadota; Gammaproteobacteria; Enterobacterales; Enterobacteriaceae
Description: partial 23S ribosomal RNA
Rfam family: Bacterial large subunit ribosomal RNA
Source: RNAcentral
UGGCAGUCAGAGGCGAUGAAGGACGUGCUAAUCUGCGAUAAGCGUCGGUAAGGUGAUAUGAACCGUUAUAACCGGCGAUUUCCGAAUGGGGAAACCCAGUGUGAUUCGUCACACUAUCAUUAACUGAAUCCAUAGGUUAAUGAGGCGAACCGGGGGAACUGAAACAUCUAAGUACCCCGAGGAAAAGAAAUCAACCGAGAUUCCCCCAGUAGCGGCGAGCGAACGGGGAGCAGCCCAGAGCCUGAAUCAGUGUGUGUGUUAGUGGAAGCGUCUGGAAAGGCGUGCGAUACAGGGUGACAGCCCCGUACACAAAAAUGCACAUACUGUGAGCUCGAUGAGUAGGGCGGGACACGUGGUAUCCUGUCUGAAUAUGGGGGGACCAUCCUCCAAGGCUAAAUACUCCUGACUGACCGAUAGUGAACCAGUACCGUGAGGGAAAGGCGAAAAGAACCCCGGCGAGGGGAGUGAAAAAGAACCUGAAACCGUGUACGUACAAGCAGUGGGAGCACGCUUAGGCGUGUGACUGCGUACCUUUUGUAUAAUGGGUCAGCGACUUAUAUUCUGUAGCAAGGUUAACCGAAUAGGGGAGCCGAAGGGAAACCGAGUCUUAACUGGGCGUUAAGUUGCAGGGUAUAGACCCGAAACCCGGUGAUCUAGCCAUGGGCAGGUUGAAGGUUGGGUAACACUAACUGGAGGACCGAACCGACUAAUGUUGAAAAAUUAGCGGAUGACUUGUGGCUGGGGGUGAAAGGCCAAUCAAACCGGGAGAUAGCUGGUUCUCCCCGAAAGCUAUUUAGGUAGCGCCUCGUGAAUUCAUCUCCGGGGGUAGAGCACUGUUUCGGCAAGGGGGUCAUCCCGACUUACCAACCCGAUGCAAACUGCGAAUACCGGAGAAUGUUAUUACGGGAGACACACGGCGGGUGCUAACGUCCGUCGUGAAGAGGGAAACAACCCAGACCGCCAGCUAAGGUCCCAAAGUCAUGGUUAAGUGGGAAACGAUGUGGGAAGGCCCAGACAGCCAGGAUGUUGGCUUAGAAGCAGCCAUCAUUUAAAGAAAGCGUAAUAGCUCACUGGUCGAGUCGGCCUGCGCGGAAGAUGUAACGGGGCUAAACCAUGCACCGAAGCUGCGGCAGCGACGCUUAUGCGUUGUUGGGUAGGGGAGCGUUCUGUAAGCCUGUGAAGGUGUGCUGUGAGGUAUGCUGGAGGUAUCAGAAGUGCGAAUGCUGACAUAAGUAACGAUAAAGCGGGUGAAAAGCCCGCUCGCCGGAAGACCAAGGGUUCCUGUCCAACGUUAAUCGGGGCAGGGUGAGUCGACCCCUAAGGCGAGGCCGAAAGGCGUAGUCGAUGGGAAACAGGUUAAUAUUCCUGUACUUGGUGUUACUGCGAAGGGGGGACGGAGAAGGCUAUGUUGGCCGGGCGACGGUUGUCCCGGUUUAAGCGUGUAGGCUGGUUUUCCAGGCAAAUCCGGAAAAUCAAGGCCGAGGCGUGAUGACGAGGCACUACGGUGCUGAAGCAACAAAUGCCCUGCUUCCAGGAAAAGCCUCUAAGCAUCAGGUAACAUCAAAUCGUACCCCAAACCGACACAGGUGGUCAGGUAGAGAAUACCAAGGCGCUUGAGAGAACUCGGGUGAAGGAACUAGGCAAAAUGGUGCCGUAACUUCGGGAGAAGGCACGCUGAUACGUAGGUGAAGCGACUUGCUCGUGGAGCUGAAAUCAGUCGAAGAUACCAGCUGGCUGCAACUGUUUAUUAAAAACACAGCACUGUGCAAACACGAAAGUGGACGUAUACGGUGUGACGCCUGCCCGGUGCCGGAAGGUUAAUUGAUGGGGUUAGCGCAAGCGAAGCUCUUGAUCGAAGCCCCGGUAAACGGCGGCCGUAACUAUAACGGUCCUAAGGUAGCGAAAUUCCUUGUCGGGUAAGUUCCGACCUGCACGAAUGGCGUAAUGAUGGCCAGGCUGUCUCCACCCGAGACUCAGUGAAAUUGAACUCGCUGUGAAGAUGCAGUGUACCCGCGGCAAGACGGAAAGACCCCGUGAACCUUUACUAUAGCUUGACACUGAACAUUGAGCCUUGAUGUGUAGGAUAGGUGGGAGGCUUUGAAGUGUGGACGCCAGUCUGCAUGGAGCCGACCUUGAAAUACCACCCUUUAAUGUUUGAUGUUCUAACGUGGACCCGUGAUCCGGGUUGCGGACAGUGUCUGGUGGGUAGUUUGACUGGGGCGGUCUCCUCCUAAAGAGUAACGGAGGAGCACGAAGGUUGGCUAAUCCUGGUCGGACAUCAGGAGGUUAGUGCAAUGGCAUAAGCCAGCUUGACUGCGAGCGUGACGGCGCGAGCAGGUGCGAAAGCAGGUCAUAGUGAUCCGGUGGUUCUGAAUGGAAGGGCCAUCGCUCAACGGAUAAAAGGUACUCCGGGGAUAACAGGCUGAUACCGCCCAAGAGUUCAUAUCGACGGCGGUGUUUGGCACCUCGAUGUCGGCUCAUCACAUCCUGGGGCUGAAGUAGGUCCCAAGGGUAUGGCUGUUCGCCAUUUAAAGUGGUACGCGAGCUGGGUUUAGAACGUCGUGAGACAGUUCGGUCCCUAUCUGCCGUGGGCGCUGGAGAACUGAGGGGGGCUGCUCCUAGUACGAGAGGACCGGAGUGGACGCAUCACUGGUGUUCGGGUUGUCAUGCCAAUGGCACUGCCCGGUAGCUAAAUGCGGAAGAGAUAAGUGCUGAAAGCAUCUAAGCACGAAACUUGCCCCGAGAUGAGUUCUCCCUGACCCUUUAAGGGUCCUGAAGGAACGUUGAAGACGACGACGUUGAUAGGCCGGGUGUGUAAGCGCAGCGAUGCGUUGAGCUAACCGGUACUAAUGAACCGUGAGGCUUAACCUUACAACGCCGAAG